This 253-nucleotide ribosomal RNA is filed under the name uncultured bacterium. Its description in RNAcentral is "partial 16S ribosomal RNA". It matches the Rfam family "Bacterial small subunit ribosomal RNA", at positions 524 to 776 of the family's 1533-position model. The record is from RNAcentral.
UACGUAGGUGGCAAGCGUUGUCCGGAUUUAUUGGGUUUAAAGGGUGCGUAGGCGGCCCGUUAAGUCAGUGGUGAAAGCCUCCAGCUCAACUGGAGAACUGCCAUUGAUACUGACGGGCUUGAGUACAGACGAGGUAGGCGGAAUUGAUUGUGUAGCGGUGAAAUGCGCAGAUAUCAGGAGGAACACCAAUGGCGAAGGCAGCUCGCUGGAACGGUACUGACGCUGAGGCGCGAAAGCGUGGGGAGCGAACAGG